UGGGGAAUUUUUCGCAAUGGGCGCAAGCCUGAUCCAGCAAUGCCGCGUGAGUGAGGAAGGCCUUAGGGUUGUAAAGCUCUUUCACCCGCGACGAUGAUGACGGUAGCGGGAGAAGAAGCCCCGGCUAACUUCGUGCCAGCAGCCGCGGUAAUACGAAGGGGGCGAGCGUUGUUCGGAUUUACUGGGCGUAAAGGGCGCGCAGGCGGCUUUGUUUGUCAGGCGUGAAAGCCCCGGGCUUAACCUGGGAACUGCGCUUGAUACGGCAGGGCUAGAGUUCGGGAGAGGAGCGUGGAAUUCCCAGUGUAGAGGUGAAAUUCGUAGAUAUUGGGAAGAACACCGGUGGCGAAGGCGGCGCUCUGGACCGAGACUGACGCUGAGGCGCGAAAGCGUGGGGAGCAAACAGGAUUAGAUACCCUGGUAGUCCACGCUGUAAACGAUGUGUGCUAGACGUUGGGGAGCCUAGCUCUUCGGUGUCGCAGCUAACGCGGUAAGCACACCGCCUGGGGAGUACGGCCGCAAGGUUAA
This 525-nucleotide ribosomal RNA is filed under the name uncultured Rhodospirillales bacterium. Its description in RNAcentral is "bacterial SSU rRNA". It matches the Rfam family "Bacterial small subunit ribosomal RNA", at positions 355 to 897 of the family's 1533-position model. Lineage: Bacteria; Pseudomonadati; Pseudomonadota; Alphaproteobacteria; Rhodospirillales. The record is from RNAcentral.